GAAUUUUAGUUAAUUAAUAACUCCUAUUAAUUUAUUUAUAUGGUGGCACAUAAUCGGAAGCCCCGACUGUUUACUAAAAACACAACUAUCUGCAAUUAUGAAAAUAAUAGUAUAGGUAGUGAGAUUUGCCCAAUGCCAUAUUAAUAAGUAAUAAUAAUAGGUAACUGUUUCUUUACAAAAAAUUGGUUAAUAGCGGUCUUAACUAUGAGGAUCCUAAGGUAGCAAAAUAAAUUGGCCAUUAAAUGUGGUCCAGUAUCAAUAAUUUAACGAUGGCUUCACUGUCUCUACAACUUGCUCAGUGAAAUUGAAUUACCCGUGCAGAUGCGGGUUACCUCAAAGAGGACGGGAAGACCCUAUGCAGCUUUCUUACUGA
Molecule: ribosomal RNA, 373 nt
Filed under: Zangia olivaceobrunnea
Lineage: Eukaryota; Fungi; Basidiomycota; Agaricomycetes; Boletales; Boletaceae
Description: LSU rRNA
Rfam family: Bacterial large subunit ribosomal RNA
Source: RNAcentral